Long non-coding RNA from Vidua chalybeata, 415 nucleotides. RefSeq lists it as uncharacterized. The record is from RefSeq and is a predicted model, not a curated record. The transcript has 4 exons. NCBI's taxonomy places the organism in Eukaryota, Metazoa, Chordata, Aves, Passeriformes, Viduidae.
UGUUAGUGAUUAAGUGAAUGUAAUGCUCAACUAAACUGUGGUUAUCUUUGCCAUAGGAUUUUUUAGAAGUUAAAUACUUGUAUUUAAUGUAUAAACAGGUUUGGAACAGGCUUCAGAGCUCUAAGCAGCUUUUCAGGCACUCUUCCAGUCUACAGACUCCCAUCUCCUUCCUGAAUCUCAUCCUGUCCUUGCUUGCCACAUCUUGAACUCUUUGACUUCACAAAGGCUCCAUUGGUCUUCAAGGGCACAAGCAUUUUACUAUGGAGAAUAAAUCUAUCCUUGAGCUUUGAGAUGGUACAGCUCUGAAUAGUGCAGCUGAGCCCCAGUUUCAUCAUUUGCGAUAAUGGUGCAGACCCUGGACCCUACAGGCAGAAAUUUUGUUUUAGAACAAGAUGUAGUAGCUGAUUAAAGAAAC